This 468-nucleotide ribosomal RNA is filed under the name uncultured bacterium. RNAcentral's name for it is "partial 16S ribosomal RNA". It matches the Rfam family "Bacterial small subunit ribosomal RNA", at positions 28 to 507 of the family's 1533-position model. The record is from RNAcentral.
GACGAACGCUGGCGGCGUGCUUAACACAUGCAAGUCGAACGGAAAGGCCCUGCUUUUGUGGGGUGCUCGAGUGGCGAACGGGUGAGUAACACGUGAGUAACCUGCCCUUGACUUUGGGAUAACUUCAGGAAACUGGGGCUAAUACCGGAUAGGAGCUCCUGCUGCAUGGUGGGGGUUGGAAAGUUUCGGCGGUUGGGGAUGGACUCGCGGCUUAUCAGCUUGUUGGUGGGGUAGUGGCUUACCAAGGCUUUGACGGGUAGCCGGCCUGAGAGGGUGACCGGCCACAUUGGGACUGAGAUACGGACCAGACUCCUACGGGAGGCAGAAGUGGGGAAUAUUGCACAAUGGGCCGAAGCCUGAUGCAGCAACGCCGCGUGCGGGAUGACGGCCUUCGGGUUGUAAACCGCUUUCGCCUGUGACGAAGCGUGAGUGACGGUAAUGGGUAAAGAAGCACCGGCUAACUACGUG